UUGUUUAUAUGUUUUAAUGAUUUUUUUCUAAUAUACAUUGCAUGGGAGAAUAUUAUUGUACAAUUCAACUGUAGCUCAAUGAAAUCGAUCAAUUUUCCCAGAGAGUAGCAGUUCUGUAGCGAAGGCCUGUGAUAUUUUCUACCUUGCGAAAACUUAAAUGAAAUGACCUUGGUUUGUCUGUUCCCGAUACAUGAAUGUGAACUGAUGCAUGGCUACAGGUGUUCCAGCGACACUUUCCGAUCGUCUUCUUGUUUUAUUCCGUCGUAACAGGUUUCAGUUAAGGCAAUCAAAUUUUAAUAUUCCCCUGCAUUUUCACAGGAUGAUGAAGGGUAGACGACAGGACGUAGACGGUGGGUACGCCUGGGUGGUGAUGAUUGCUAGCACGCUUUCUCUCGUACUGAAUGGAUGCCUUUUGUAUGGAGCCGGAAUUAUGCACGUUGCUUUCCUAGGCCACUACAAUGAGUCGGAUGCGUACACGUCGCUUGUCGGAUCAGUAUUUAGCAGUAUUUUACAAUUAAUAGGUCCCUUCGCUAGUGUACUCAUCAACAGAUUCAGCUGCCGUUUUACAUCAGUGGUAGGCGGAAUAAUGGUGUUUAUAGGAUGUUCCUUGUCCUUCUUCGCUCCAUCAUUAGAUAUUAUUUUGGUGACCUAUGGAAUAAUUGCAGGUAUUGGUAACGGAUUGUGCUCUACUCCUCCACUGGUGGUGAUAUGGUACUACUUUCAGGAAAGAAGAGGGCUUGCUUUGGGUGUUACAGUAGCUGGAGGGGCGAUGGGGAUGUUUAUAUCGGGACCCCUUAUUCAAUAUCUUCUCGAUUCUUACGGACUUCAUGGAACACUAUUAAUUCAGGGUGCUCUCUUUGCUAACCAGAUUGUAAUGGGGUUAAUCAUGCGACCAUCUGAAAUGGAAAUUCGUCAAAAAUCUCAUAGAAUCAAACAAACCAAUCAAAGAAAAUCGAAAGAAAAUGCAAGAAAUUGGAAGAAUAUUCUACAUUUAGAUAUUUUAUAUGAUAAAAUGUUUUUGUUAAUUCUUUUACAAUACUUUUUAUGGAACAUUCCUUAUUCCAUGUUGAUGUUACAUUUACCAAAUUUCUCCGUCACCAAGGGAUUCAGCAAACAGGAUGCAGCAUUUCUCAUUUUCUUGAUAGGCCUCUUGGGAACAUUUGGUCGCAUCGUAACAGGCCUAAUCGUAGGUCCACAUGGAAUAGAUCCUAUUCUAAUGAACACUGGGACCUUGGGAAUUUUAAGCAUAAUCUGUGGAUUCUUUCCUUUCUUCUCUCAUUCCUAUACCGGACAAUGCAUAUUCUCUUGUGUGUUUGGAUUAUAUCUUGGGACUAUGGUAACGCUGAUUACUCCUGUUACUGUGGAAACGUUAGGUAUUCAGAAACUGUCCAGUGGAAUCGGAAUAAUGUAUUGUUUGGGAGGAAUGGGAUAUCUCAUUGGACCCAUUUUUGCUGGCAUUUUGCUUGAUAUUGGAAGCAAGUACGAAGUAACAUUUUACAUUUCAGGUUUGCUAUUACUGCUAGCAUCACUUAUUACAUUGAUGUCCUCUCUCUGGAGAAAAGAGGUUGAUAAUCAAAUUGAAGAUCUUUCGUACGAACUACCAGAAAAAGAACAAGUUAAGAACUCCACGUUAUCAAACCAGUCAGGGUUACUCGCUGGGUCUAUCAUCAUUCAUCUUGACGAAAAUAUUGAUAGAAAAUCUAGCCAACUGAAAUGUACACAGGAUUCUGAGAUACAACAGAGUCAUGAUAGCUUGGCAAAAACCACAACAGUUUAUAAUUUUCAGAAAAACAGAAGUGUGUGUAACAACAAGUGCAGGUCGUACGAAGGUACUGGAUCUAUAAGGAAAAUAACGAGUUCUGACAACGAUAAAACGGAAAUGUAGUGGAUCUAUAUGGAAGUUAACCAACUCUGAUGACGAUAGUUCAGAAAUAGAAGAUCCAUACAUGGAAGAAGAUAUUCUAAAGUUGUUAGCUUAUUUGAAAGAAGUAAGUGCCGUACACCACAAGGACAAGGACGUUUACGUUCUCUACGACCCAAGAAGAACGAUAUACCCAAUAUCUGGAUGCAAAGGCAUUAGAUUUCACUCCGAAUGAAAGUUCACGAGUCGCUGGAAUGAACUCCACAAACUGACCACUGUCUAUGAUGUCGCCUGUCAUGUGAGUGUGAAGCAAAACGAAUAUGAAGACACAUAUACAGAGAAAAAGAGGCGAUACGGAAACAGUAGAGUUUAUAUAUGCUGAGUGCUAGGUUUCACAAAAGAAUAGGUGACCCUCCUCUCUCUCUCUCUCUCUCUCUCUCUCUCUCUCUCUCUCUCUCUCUCUCUCGGAACCUUUGCGAAUGACAUACCCAGCUGGUUUAGGAAUCUCGAGAAUUGUCUAUGAAUACCCAUACAUCAGCGUAUGGAACCUUAAUAUUGCAGUCGGAGUCGUUGCCCGAACUCCGGGGGAAGAAAUCACUGUUGCAAGCGGAGAAUCCAAGAAGAGAAAGCUGACCAUUCAAGAGUAUUGGGUUCGGGAAUUUCCCCGGAACCACACUACUGGAACGCACACCCCUGGUUUGACCUGUCAACUCUAUCAAAUCUGCCGUAAUCAGGAAGUGUUACACAGCUAAUCAAAACAUAGAAAACAGAUGUACAGAAUCCUUUCAUUCAUCCUAUCACUUAACAUUUAAAUAUAUGCAUUUAUUGGAGAAUAUUAUGUCCAGUGAUAUUGACAUGAUUAUUUCUCAUGUUUUGUUAAAUUUCAAUGUAGAAUUAAUCAACAAUUAUUGAAACAUCCAUAAUUUCAUUCUAGUGGACAUGUGACAGUAUGAUUUAAUUGUAUGUAAACAAAGGUGAUUAGUCUGAAAUGAAAAAUAUAGAGACUUAUUACAUUGAUCAAAUAUUGAAGAAAUUUAAUGUAUUAAUUUCAGUCUUGCAUAAAAUAUCCAAAUAGUUUUAGAGAAUCUAGCUGGAUUUCGUAAAACUUCUAUAUAAGAUCUUAUUUUUACUCUGUACACACUAUUACAAAGUUUCCAGAAUAUACUGGACUUUUAUUGAUUUUGGAUAAGCACAUGACGAUAUGGCCUGUUGGUCUGUAACGCGAAUUCUUAUUCAACAAUACAGACAAUAUUGAUGGAAAUAUUUCAAAGUUAUCAAAAUUAUUGGAAUUCAAUAAAGAUUGUCAUAA
Ostrea edulis (European flat oyster) is the source of this 3170-nucleotide RNA transcript. It is a transcript of the gene named monocarboxylate transporter 12-like, with no coding region annotated. The record is from RefSeq and is a predicted model, not a curated record. The transcript has 7 exons. NCBI's taxonomy places the organism in Eukaryota, Metazoa, Mollusca, Bivalvia, Ostreida, Ostreidae.